UGACUGGUCGAGUGGCUGCUCA
This 22-nucleotide non-coding RNA is filed under the name Arabidopsis thaliana (thale cress). Lineage: Eukaryota; Viridiplantae; Streptophyta; Magnoliopsida; Brassicales; Brassicaceae. The record is from RNAcentral.